AAGCGUUAAAGCUCCGGUAAAUAUAGGCCAAUAAUAAAGACAAUACACUCCCCACCCCCUAAAAAUAUUAAGCUAUCCUAUGCGCACAUAGGAGAAACAAUGCUAAAAUCAGUAAUAAGAGGACCCAGGUCCUCUCCUAGCACAUGUGUGAGUCAGAACGGACCAACCACUGACAAUCAACGGACCCUAACAGAGAGAAAAAGAACGAACUACAAAAAACAAGAAAAAACUAUUCAAUACCACAAACCGUUAACCCAACACAGGAGUGCCCGAAGGAAAGACUAAAAGGGGAAGAAGGAACUCGGCAAACACAAGCCCCGCCUGU
Molecule: ribosomal RNA, 325 nt
Filed under: Anguilla anguilla (European eel)
Lineage: Eukaryota; Metazoa; Chordata; Actinopteri; Anguilliformes; Anguillidae
Description: partial 16S ribosomal RNA
Source: RNAcentral